This 216-nucleotide ribosomal RNA is filed under the name uncultured fungus. Its description in RNAcentral is "partial small subunit ribosomal RNA". The stretch from base 40 to 216 matches the Rfam family "Eukaryotic small subunit ribosomal RNA", at positions 686 to 864 of the family's 1831-position model. The record is from RNAcentral. Lineage: Eukaryota; Fungi.
GGGUCAGCAGGUUGGUCGUGCCAAUGGUAUGCACUGGCCUUGCUGAUUCCUCCCUCUUGAUGAGCCGUAAUGUCAUUAAUUUGGUGUUGCGGGGAAUCAGGACUGUUACUUUGAAAAAAUUAGAGUGUUUAAAGCAGGCAAGCGCUUGAAUACAUUAGCAUGGAAUAAUGAAAUAGGACGUUUGAUCCUAUUUUGUUGGUUUCUAGGAUUGACGUA